Scylla paramamosain (green mud crab) is the source of this 3952-nucleotide long non-coding RNA. RefSeq lists it as uncharacterized. Lineage: Eukaryota; Metazoa; Arthropoda; Malacostraca; Decapoda; Portunidae. The record is from RefSeq and is a predicted model, not a curated record. The transcript has 2 exons.
AAUACACCAGAGUGCAUCAGCAUCAGCGAUCUCGUGAUGAAUGGCAAGCUACAGCUGACGGGGAAAGAACAGAUGUUGAUCCCAGUGACUCAUCCGAGCUCAGCCAAACAUAGCACUGUUGAUGAGGAAAAGGGGAAAAGACUCAAAAAUAAAUGCUGGAGCGAACAGGUAAUGAGUUUUGGGAGGAUUAAAAAUGACAAUGAAAAACGCCUUAAGGAGAGGAGGCCGUGACGAAUGUGACGAAGGGGGGGCGGGAUAAAGUGGAUGAGGGAGAGGUGCCAUGGGAGAGGGGAGAGGAGGGAGAGGGGCAGCAGUUGGUGGUGGUGGGGAGAAAAGGGAAUUUGUUUGAGGGGUUUAAGGUGGAGACAGGGGGUAACUAGCUUUGGUUGGGGGGAUAAUUACACAGGUGAGGCUAAUUAAGGUUAGGGGGAGACUAUUCUAAUCAACAAACGGUAAUUAUAACUCUUCACGGAGGGUUUUUAAACGAGCGAGUGGUGAUUAGAUGGAAGGGGAGGAAGGGAGAGACAGGGAGAGAUAACCAGAUGGGCGGGCGAGGGAAGGUGUUCGUCAGCCUCCUGCAACACUACCUCCCACUAAUGAUGCAGGUAAUUGCCGCACACCUGUAAUAGAGUCCAAGUUUGAACAGGGAAGUGUGACGGAAGAAAAACGCACACGCCAGACCCGCCGCAACUCACUCUUCUUUAUUUCCAUCCUCGCCCUCUGCGCCUUCAGGAGGAAAGCGUCGUGGUCGUCAAGACUUUAUCAUUUUGUAUUCUUGUGUGGUUUCAAAAGUCUAUGGGGCAGUGGUGGUGUUGUGGUGGUGAUGCAUGCUUGGACUCCAGGUGACAUGAUGGUAUUGCAUUGUGUGUGUGUGGGUGGGGAAGCAUGUUAGAGUCGUGGUCAAAAAGUCAAGUAAUCUUCCGCAUUCGCUUCCACUGUGUUUUGUGUGCUAACCCUUGAUCUUUAGUCCUCUGACCUGCUGACAACCUCCUGACAAGACCCGACAGUGAUAGAUUCAUGGCGGAUCACAGGAGUUAAGAGUGAGAGAAAACAAGACACCGGAGAAGGAAGUUCGGUAUGUUACUGCACUUCUGACAAUGUACAUUCGUGGUGCAAAUAUACCUAACUCGUACUUUGCUUGCUUAUCCUUGACUUUAGCUUCUUUAUAUUUACAGGCUAAGCUACAGGAACAUUUGAUAGGUAGAUAGAUACAUACGUGCAUCCAUCCAUACAUAGAUGCAUACAUAUAUAUACAUGGAUGGACAGAUAAAUAAUUCUACAUGGAUAAAGAACUAUUAUAUAUAUUUUGUUGUCAGGCACGUGUCUAUUGUCCUCCUGCCUUUGAAACACCAGUAUUAACAUUUUAUUUUACACUAUUUUAUAUUCCCACCUAUGCAUUAUGACGACAAUAUGUAAAGUGAGAACUGCCGAAGGUAUUAAUUUGUUAAUGUGCGUAAAUUAAAAGGUGUGUUUACUCGUCUUUUAUAUAUAUUCAAAUGCCACAUUAUUCUCUGCCAUAUACGAAAGUAAGUUAAAGCGGCUCAAAUUAAAGAAAAAAAAAAAUCUCAAGGCGAAUGACCUUUAAAAGUCACCACAAACAACCUUCCCUCUGUUAGGUCACGAGGCAAUAAAGACACCCCCAUAAACCGCUUCCCUCCCCUCCCUCUCCUUCCAUCUUUACUCCCUUACCUCCUCCAUCCCUCUGUCCGCCUUACACCCACCACCUCUUCCAUCUUUCUUUCCUUGUUUCCCUCCCAUUCCUUCUAACUUUCCUCUUUUCCUUCCUCCUCUCUCUUUGUUCACCCCUUCUCUACCUUUCCUUCUAACAUUCCUCUUUUCCUUCCUUCACUAUCUUAUUCCUCCCGUUCUUAUCUUACGCCCACUUCCUCUUCCAUAUUUCCUUCCUCCUUUCCCUCAUUUUCCUACUAACAUUCGUCUUUUCUGACAUUUCUUUCCCCCCCUCACUCCCUUCCUUCACUUCCUAUUCUUCCAUCUCCUGCCUUUCGCCCACAUCCUCUUCUAUAUUUUCUCUUUUGCCUCCAUUUUAUUGCAAUAUUUCUCCUCCCUCUUUCUUUCAUUUCACUCCCUUCCUUAAAUUUACUCCCCCUUUCUCUCUCACUCUCCCUUCCCUCACUUCCUCUCCCUCCCUCUCACUUGUCGCCCAUAUCACGGUCGAUCAUCUGCUUUGUUUUAUUAAGACACACAAUCAUGUACCAAGUUGACAGCGGCUGGGCGACAGUGGGCGUGGGAGGGGCCCAAUAAAAUGUUAAUCAGGCCUAUCAAUAUGGUCGGGGAAGUCUUGGUUACAGUAUCGACGUAACGACCCUAGUGACGGAGGCGACCGCGGAAGGAGGAAGGAAAGGACAAUAAUAGGGUAUGGUCGGAUGUGUGUGUGUGUGUGUGUGUGUCUGUGUGUGUGUUAGUUAGGGCGGUAUUUCAUUCCCAUGGCCUUUAAAUGUCGCUCUUACUGGAUAUUUGUACGUACAUAGGCGCUGUGGUCGUGAACCUUCCCCUUUUCUGCUAUUCCUACGUCCUGAUAUUCUCCCAAGCUCUUAUUUCCUACUUGUUCUGUGUUCUUGUAUUCCCAUGUUUCUUAUUUUCCCUUUUCACACUUCGGGGACGCCUCUGAGGCUCCAUAGGGACCAGCCGCCAUAUAGCGGUGUAAUUACUCUCUCGGAGAUGGAGGCACGGACAGGACCCUCGAACUGGACAGUGGAAAUAUGUUUCGAGAUGGGAAGGGAAUGGAGGCAGGAUGGGAGGGUAGGAGGGAGGUACAAAUGGGGAUAGAUCAUCAUAAAAGAAAGAAAAAAAAAUGUACAGGGAAUUCGUUGGUGGUAAAAUAUAUGACCAAGAGAUGGACACUUUAAUACUGGUCGUAGUUCUGUUAUUAGCAGCGGCUUUGGUGGCACUGUAAGGAAGGGCAAGGCAAGGCAGGAAAGGGUAGGGUUGAACAAGGUAUAGCAGGGCAGGUCAGGGUUCGGUAAAAGCAAAGCAAGACAGGACAGGGUUGGAUAGAGCAGGGCAAAGAAAGACAGUGCAGGGCAGGACAGGGUAAGGUUGGGCAGGGUAUAGCAGAGCGGGACAGGGUUCGAUAGAGGCAAGGCAAGGCAAGGCAGGGUUGGGUAGAGCAGGGUAGGGAAAGCUUGUGCAGGGCAGGGCGGGAUUGGGCUGGGCAGUGCAGGGAGGAGAGUUGUGGUUUGAACCCAGAAGCCCAACACGACACUGCCAAAGGCCUGCUGUCUGCCUCUAUAGGUGAUCCAUCUUUGUUCUGGCCGGACCCAAUUUUAUUACAUCUCGCUCUCUUCCUUCCUUCGCCGGCCGUCGAAGACCUUCCGUGGCUCACAUUCAGCUGGAUGUUCCCUGGAGACCGGCAGCCGAUCAAGCAAACACUCCUCCAGCCUCAAUAUUGCACUGAAGUCCCCCAGACUCGCGCCUCACAGGCCGGCAACCUUCCUGGCUGGUCGGGAUAAAACAACAAAUAUAUGCGACGAAAAUAACCGUGUAGAUACAGCAAAUUGGGCAUUGGUGCCCCAAGGGAAGGUUUCGACCAACAGAAGACGAGGUGGCGUGGCUGCCCCAAUCCCUUAUCGCCCCAGCACCUGCGACGUCCGGGCACGAUUUACUACGCUGGACCCGAGUGACUUGAGAUACAUAGCGCUCAUUCCAAAAGUUAUCUACCGUUCCAAUUUCGCUUCGUACCACUAACAGAUAAAUCCCCAGCCUAGGAAACGUGGCGCGGGCCGAGAAGAGAGAGAGGAGGAAGGGGGAGGUUAUCGCAGAGAAGGAGGAGCAGCAAUAUCUUUGGGUCACAAAUUUGUGGCUCAAACACGAAUUCCUGUUAAGUUAGCCGCGUGACUUUUGCUCCAUGUGAAUUAUAUGUAUUGCAGAACGUGCUUGCCUGAUUCCAGUCACGUGCACGAGUGUUACCCACAUUGUCUUCAAUUUCACCUGU